CCUACGGGAGGCAGCAGUGAGGAAUAUUGGUCAAUGGACGAGAGUCUGAACCAGCCAAGUAGCGUGAAGGAUGACUGCCCUAUGGGUUGUAAACUUCUUUUAUAUGGGAAUAAAAUGUUCCACGUGUGGGAUUUUGUAUGUACCAUAUGAAUAAGGAUCGGCUAACUCCGUGCCAGCAGCCGCGGUAAUACGGAGGAUCCGAGCGUUAUCCGGAUUUAUUGGGUUUAAAGGGAGCGUAGGUGGAUUGUUAAGUCAGUUGUGAAAGUUUGCGGCUCAACCGUAAAAUUGCAGUUGAAACUGGCAGGCUUGAGUACAGUAGAGGUAGGAGGAAUUCGUGGUGUAGCGGUGAAAUGCUUAGAUAUCACGAAGAACUCCGAUUGCGAAGGCAGCUCACUGGACUACAACUGACACUGAGGCUCGAAAGUGUGGGUAUCAAACAGGAUUAGAUACCCCUGUAGUC
Molecule: ribosomal RNA, 460 nt
Filed under: uncultured bacterium
Lineage: Bacteria
Description: partial 16S ribosomal RNA
Rfam family: Bacterial small subunit ribosomal RNA
Source: RNAcentral